Molecule: long non-coding RNA, 1335 nt
Filed under: Cairina moschata (Muscovy duck)
Lineage: Eukaryota; Metazoa; Chordata; Aves; Anseriformes; Anatidae
Description: domestica (muscovy Duck (domestic type)) lncRNA (ENSCMMG00000006635.1)
Source: RNAcentral
CUUUAAAAAAAAAAAAAAUUAAAAAAAAAAUCCCUGCCCGCAAUAAAAAGAAGCGGCUUUGCUUCCCCGCCCUCCCCCUGCCCCCUGCUUUUUUUUUCCUGCCCCUAAACAAGCCGAAAAGGGAGCGAAGGCUGCGGGGUGGCCGUGCCCACCAUCGAUUUUUCGUGGAAGGAGCCCAGAAAGGGUGGUGAUGGAGCACGGGGCUGCGAGCCCCCGGCCCCAGCAGCCGGCAGCGGGGAGCUGAACCAGAGCCGGGGGGAGCAUCGCUGCUGGCUGGGGCUCUGCUCGGCCAGAAAAAUCAAAGGGAGGAGGAAAAUCGAGGUGGAGGAGAGGAAGAAGAAGGGCCGAAGGGCUCGGGCGAAGCAGCCAUUAGGAAAGUGCUGAUGCAGAGGUUCACUUGUGUCUACGGGCAGAGUUGGAGGAGUUGCUGUUCGCGGACAAAGGCGGUAGGAGGGAGUGGAGCUUUGUAGAAGCUGGAGCCUGUCUCGCUGGGUGUCUGCGUUUCAUUCCCUGUCAAGCGGCUGGGGAAAAGCAGGGAAGCGCCGAGCUGCAGCGCUCGCUCAGGAUCAGAUAGCAAGGAAACCAAUAGCAGAGGGAACCAAAAAAAAAAAAAAAAAAAAGAAAGGAAAAAAAAAAAAGAAACAACAAACCACCGAGCAAGCAAGCAACCCACCCUCCACGCUGAGACUGAAGCAGGCAGGUCCCUGCCAACUACACAGCACGCAUCCAGCAGCGAAGAAGUCUUCCCUCCCCGGGCAGGAGCGGAGUUGAGCCCGAAGGAUAUUUGAUGACACUUUUGCAGCGAUGGGGCCCCCAGCAUCUUCCAGAGCCCAUUUGAGGGCGAAGCCUCUGAAAGCGCAGAGGGAGUUUGAAGCUAAAUUCACCUGAGUCUGGAUCUCUUGGCCGCUGGGAUUUAUCUAUCUAUCUAUCUAUUUUUAUUUUUCUCCAGGGAAACCAAACAAAAAAAAACCGUGUUUUGUUGUUUGUUUGUUUUUAAGCUCUUUUUUUUUUUUUUUUUUCUUUUGGAAGAAGAUCUUUAUUUUUAUUUUUUUUUCGUGUGGUUGCAAUGGAGGGGUUGGGUCUGUGCCUACGAAGCAGCAGCCGAAUGCUGGUCCUGGGAGAAACCGGCGCGGACGCGGGGUCCCUCGCCAGCUAACUCCGCAGGACCCGGGGCCGGGGGUCUCGAUGCAGUGAGAGAGCCUCUCACGGGAUCCGCGUGGUGACGUGGCCGCCAAGACGUGGAAGCUUGGGACUUCUCUUCCACCGCAACAGAAUUUGGGGGGUGGGCAGGGGUGGGCCAGGGGGACGUCAAGAGUCGCGAGACCCUUCACCUUC